GAAUCUUGCGCAAUGGACGAAAGUCUGACGCAGCGACGCCGCGUGAGCGAUGAAGGCCUUCGGGUUGUAAAGCUCUGUGGGGAGAGACGAAUAAGGUGUAGCUAAUACCUGCAUCGAUGACGGUAUCUCCUUAGCAAGCACCGGCUAACUCUGUUCCAGCAGCCGCGGUAAGACAGAGGGUGCAAACGUUGUUCGGAAUUACUGGGCGUAAAGCGCGUGUAGGCGGCGACGUGUGUCGGGCGUGAAAUCCCGUGGCUCAACCAUGGAAGUGCACCCGAAACUGCGUAGCUAGAGUCCUGGAGAGGAAGGUGGAAUACUUGGUGUAGAGGUGAAAUUCGUAGAUAUCAAGUGGAACACCGGUGGCGAAGGCGGCCUUCUGGACAGUGACUGACGCUGAGACGCGAAAGCGUGGGGAGCAAACAGG
RNAcentral lists this ribosomal RNA (424 nucleotides) under uncultured bacterium. RNAcentral's name for it is "bacterial SSU rRNA". It matches the Rfam family "Bacterial small subunit ribosomal RNA", at positions 359 to 776 of the family's 1533-position model. The record is from RNAcentral.